Molecule: long non-coding RNA, 1388 nt
Organism: Hemicordylus capensis (graceful crag lizard)
Lineage: Eukaryota; Metazoa; Chordata; Lepidosauria; Squamata; Cordylidae
Exons: 2
Source: RefSeq, a predicted model, not a curated record
CAGCGGAGGAAGUUUGUAACUCCAUAUGAUUUAGGGGGGGGGAAGAAAAACAAGAAAAAAGUAAUUAUUCCUGAAGGUAGCCUAUACUGAAUAGCUAUUAAGUGAACAAUUUAGGAAAUAAAACCAUACUUCUUAAACUCUUUAGUGCUCCAGAUUGUAAUGGCACUGAAGACAAAAGAUUGGUGAGACCACACAGGAAGGGCCCAGAAAGACAAAAAUGACAAUAAAGGAUUUCAAUGGUUAUCAUCUGUGCAAAGACUACAGAAACUCCAGUGUGAUGUAUGAGAUAAAAGGAAAGCAUAACAAAAGCAAAAAGAAGAAUGCCAGCCCUGUGACACUGUUGUAUGAAAUGUAGAACAAUAUAGUAGAAGCUGACUUAGUCCAUGGAGGAGAGGACUUGGAAGAAACCUGGGUUUAAAUACCCGCUCAGUCAUUCUGAUCACAAGAUAGGCUUGGACAAGUCAUUAUCUUUUCCUGCUUUGCAGGGCUGUUGUAAGGACUGUGACGGUUUGCAUUUUGUAGUGUUUGUUAAAGGUGUUAUUUAUAUGUGUUAAAUGUUAAUGUAUAAAACUGAGUGCAUGUACAUUGUUAUUGUACAGUAAUGCUGUGCAGUAGUGAGGCCCUUGAAGGAAGGCUAAAGAAACCCUAUAAGUAUAUAAGAACAGCCCUGCUGGAUCAGGCCCAAGACCUAUCUAGUCCAGCAUCCUCUUUCACACACUGGCCUACCAGAUGCCUCUGAGAAGCCCACAGGCAAGAGGUGAGGGCAUGCCCUUUCUCCUGCUGUUGCUCCCCAGACUAGUAGCCAUUGCAGGUACAGAAGAAGGCCAGCGGUGGCCUGGCCUCAGCCCCCCGCCGUGGCCCCCCUAGCCCCACCCCCUGCAUCAGCAUCUGACAUCAGACGUGGGGGGGGUAUGUCUGGGGCAUGAGGUGAGGCCCCUGAGGGGCAGCUACCCGGGUUCUUUGAACCCAUUCACUCAAUGGUGGCUCUACCCUUGAGCCAUUAAUAGACCUGUCCUCCAUGAAUUUGCCUAAGCUCCUUUUAAAGCCAUCCAAGCUGGUGGCCAUCACCACAUCCCAUGGCAAAGAAUUCCAUCAAUUAAUUAUGCACUGUAUGAAAAAAGUACUUCCUCUUGUCAGUCCUAAAUUUCUCUGCUUGCUUAGAAUGCAGGAGGGGGGCAGUUAGAGAGAGAAGAUAAUUAAAACAAAUAGGAUAACAGAUAGUGAAGAGGGGAGAAGUUGGGCUGGAGGCUUGGAGAGAAAGACUGUUAAAAUUUAUGUAAACUAUGGCAACUCUUGGAAACCACUAUGUUUACUGUAUGUACAUCUAGAGCUUGUAACCGCCAUGCUUUGAGAAUGACAAAACAAUAAAAACCUGUUAUUUAGUUUUA